GACGAACGCUGGCGGCGUGCCUAAUACAUGCAAGUUGAGCGCUGAAGGUUGGUACUUGUACCAACUGGAUGAGCAGCGAACGGGUGAGUAACGCGUGGGGAAUCUGCCUUUGAGCGGGGGACAACAUUUGGAAACGAAUGCUAAUACCGCAUAAAAACUUUAAACACAAGUUUUAAGUUUGAAAGAUGCAAUUGCAUCACUCAAAGAUGAUCCCGCGUUGUAUUAGCUAGUUGGUGAGGUAAAGGCUCACCAAGGCGAUGAUACAUAGCCGACCUGAGAGGGUGAUCGGCCACCUUGGGACUGAGACACGGCCCAAACUCCUACGGGAGGCAGCAGUAGGGAAUCUUCGGCAAUGGACGAAAGUCUGACCGGGCAACGCCGCGUGAGUGAAGAAGGUUUUCGGAUCGUAAAACUCUGUUGGUAGAGAAGAACGUUGGUGAGAGUGGAAAGCUCAUCAAGUGACGGUAACUACCCAGAAAGGGACGGCUAACUACGUG
This 497-nucleotide ribosomal RNA is filed under the name uncultured bacterium. Its description in RNAcentral is "partial 16S ribosomal RNA". It matches the Rfam family "Bacterial small subunit ribosomal RNA", at positions 28 to 507 of the family's 1533-position model. The record is from RNAcentral.